Molecule: ribosomal RNA, 498 nt
Filed under: uncultured bacterium
Lineage: Bacteria
Description: partial 16S ribosomal RNA
Rfam family: Bacterial small subunit ribosomal RNA
Source: RNAcentral
GACGAACGCUGGCGGCGUGCCUAAUACAUGCAAGUCGAGCGGACGGAUGGGAGCUUGCUCCCAGACCGUCAGCGGCGGACGGGUGAGUAACACGUGGGCAACCUGCCUGUAAGACUGGGAUAACUCCGGGAAACCGGGGCUAAUACCGGAUAACUCCUUCCCUCACAUGAGGGAAAGCUGAAAGAUGGCAUCUCGCUAUCACUUACAGAUGGGCCCGCGGCGCAUUAGCUAGUUGGUGAGGUAACGGCUCACCAAGGCGACGAUGCGUAGCCGACCUGAGAGGGUGAUCGGCCACACUGGGACUGAGACACGGCCCAGACUCCUACGGGAGGCAGCAGUAGGGAAUCUUCCGCAAUGGACGAAAGUCUGACGGAGCAACGCCGCGUGAGUGAUGAAGGUUUUCGGAUCGUAAAACUCUGUUGUCAGGGAAGAACAAGUACCGGAGUAACUGCCGGUACCUUGACGGUACCUGACCAGAAAGCCACGGCUAACUACGUG